AGUGAACGCUGGCGGUAGGCCUAACACAUGCAAGUCGAACGGCAGCACAGUAAGAGCUUGCUCUUACGGGUGGCGAGUGGCGGACGGGUGAGGAAUACAUCGGAAUCUACUUUUUCGUGGGGGAUAACGUAGGGAAACUUACGCUAAUACCGCAUACGACCUACGGGUGAAAGCAGGGGAUCUUCGGACCUUGCGCGAUUGAAUGAGCCGAUGUCGGAUUAGCUAGUUGGCGGGGGAAAGGCCCACCAAGGCGACGAUCCGUAGCUGGUAUGAGAGGAUGAUCAGCCACACUGGAACUGAGACACGGUCCAGACUCCUACGGGAGGCAGCAGUGGGGAAUAUUGGACAAUGGGCGCAAGCCUGAUCCAGCCAUACCGCGUGGGUGAAGAAGGCCUUCGGGUUGUAAAGCCCUUUUGUUGGGAAAGAAAAGCAGCAGGUUAAUACCCCGCUGUUCUGACGGUACCCAAAGAAUAAGCACCGGCUAACUUCGUG
This 492-nucleotide ribosomal RNA is filed under the name uncultured bacterium. RNAcentral describes it as "partial 16S ribosomal RNA". It matches the Rfam family "Bacterial small subunit ribosomal RNA", at positions 29 to 507 of the family's 1533-position model. The record is from RNAcentral.